AACGUAGGAGGCGAGCGUUAUCCGGAUUUACUGGGCGUAAAGCGUGUGUAGGCGGUACGGUAAGUUGGAUGUGAAAGCUCCUGGCUUAACUAGGAGAGGUCGUUCAAUACUGCCGAACUUGAGGGUAUCAGAGGAGAGUGGAAUUCCCGGUGUAGUGGUGAAAUAGCGUAGAUAUCGGGAGGGAACACCAGUGGCGAAAGACGGCUCUCUGGGAGUACAUCUGACGCUCAGACACGAAAGACUA
This 244-nucleotide ribosomal RNA is filed under the name uncultured bacterium. RNAcentral's name for it is "partial 16S ribosomal RNA". It matches the Rfam family "Bacterial small subunit ribosomal RNA", at positions 524 to 763 of the family's 1533-position model. The record is from RNAcentral.